Small nuclear RNA from Talpa occidentalis (Iberian mole), 103 nucleotides. The record is from RefSeq and is a predicted model, not a curated record. NCBI's taxonomy places the organism in Eukaryota, Metazoa, Chordata, Mammalia, Eulipotyphla, Talpidae.
CUGCUUUGGCAGAAUAUAUACUAAAGUUGGAAUGACACAGAGAAUAUUAACAAGGCUCCUGCACAAGGAUGGCACACAAAUUUGGGAGGCAUUCCAUAUUUUU